CCCUAACCCUAACCCUAACCCUAACCCUAACCCUAACCCUAACCCUAACCCUAACCCUAACCCUAACCCUAACCCUAACCCUAACCCUAACCCUAACCCAAGGUCUAACCCUAAGCCUUACCUGCACACCUACCUGUUGCACUUAGCUUCAAGUGGGAUCUGUGUCCUGGUAAUGAUGCAUCAAGGCACACCACUGAGUUAGAUUGCACAAGUAUUUGUUUAUUACAGCACUGUUUCCUCAAGACAUGACUUGUACAAUUGUAUGCACACUACAGCAAUGCCUACAUGUUGACAAACAAAACACGAAUAGACUGAUUCCAUACAAUUCCAAGACACCGUUUACAGGCGCAGCACCCGCGUACUCCAUACAAUUCCAAGACACCGUUUACAGGCGCAGCACCCGCAUACUCCAUACAAUUCCAAGACACCGUUUACAGGCGCAGCACCCGCGUACUCCAUACAAUUCCAAGACACCGUUUACAGGCGCAGCACCCGCGUACUCCAUACAAUUCCAAGACACCGUUUACAGGCGCAGCACCCGCGUACUCCGUACAUUUUAAGGCAUGGUUUACAUAUGUGUUAUAUGUCAGACUCACAAGACAAAGGUCACAAAGCCUCCACAUCCAAUAAAUAACAUUACAUUUACACUAAUAUUGUGUACUGCAACCCACCUCAAGAGCAGAGCAGAUCUCAGCCCACCUGAAGUAAAUGCAAGCCUCAGACUGGCCGGGAAGGAGCGCAAAUAGGCUCAGUUGGUUACGGGGUUGGAUUAGCCCUGCGGUACAAACAAACAAAGCAAAGCUAACCCAACCCCGUAAGCAAGGCAAAGCUAAAGCCAAUUUGGCUGAGAUCAAUUGAUUGCAAAGCUAAAGCCAAUUGGGUUGAGAUCAAUUGACUGCAAAGCUAAAGCCAAUUUGGGCAAGAUAAAUUGACUGCACCUGCCAAAAUCGGUGCAACUCUCAGAAUGGCCGCAAAGGGGCGCGAGUCUCAGACUGGCCGGGAAGGAGCGCAAAUGGGCUCCAUUGGCCUCGGGCGUUGGUUACGGGGUUGGGUUAGCCCUGCGGUACAAACAAACAAAGCAAAGCUAACCCAACCCCGUAAGCAACGCAAAGCUAAAGCCAAUUUGGCUGAGAUCAAUUGAUUGCAAAGCUAAAGCCAAUUGGGUUGAGAUCAAUUGACUGCAAAGCUAAAGCCAAUUUGGGCAAGAUAAAUUGACUGCACCUGCCAAAAUCGGUGCAACUCUCAGAAUGGCCGCAAAGGGGCGCGAGUCUCAGACUGGCCGGGAAGGAGCGCAAAUGGGCUCC
This 1304-nucleotide long non-coding RNA is filed under the name Gallus gallus (chicken). Its description in RNAcentral is "lncRNA (ENSGALG00010027762.1)". Lineage: Eukaryota; Metazoa; Chordata; Aves; Galliformes; Phasianidae. The record is from RNAcentral.